CUACUAGCAAACAAAGAAAAUGUAGAUCUGAACCCUAAGAAUAAGUGUCAUUUAGUUCUUUCAUUUAUCAAAAAAAGUCUCUUCAGUAAGCAUCCACCUAGCAGAUUUGUUUCCAAUCCUUCAACAGCAGAGGAGAUUUAAGAAAUCUGUAAAAGUUUUUCUGGAGAGAAGAUCACUGCCCCUUAGUGUCAUUGGAUGUCCUCUGUGUUGAACCAUAUGCAGGUCUGCAUCGCCCUGUGCUGGAGUGCCAGGGGAAAGCACAGCUCCAGAAUUCCCACCAGAGAACCCCUCCAUCUCCAAGAAAACCUUCCAAAAAUGCAUCCAUGAGCAGAGGACAAUCUGAGGACACUCUUGACUUGUUUUAUCCUCCUCAUCUCCCUGAGAGGUUGCCCUGAGCCCACACUCACAUAAUUCUUUCACUACACGAGAGGGAAAAAGAAACUCUUACUGCACAAUAAUUUAUAAUAAAUCACUCAUGAACCCAUCAACUUAAUCUUCAUUGCAAUCUAUUGCUACAAAGAUUUCUAUAGUCUGACAGAAGACUUACUGAGUAUAAAAAUUUGCCUCAGGGGCUCAGUGUAAUCAGAGAGGGACAGAAUAAAAACACAAUGUGCUUGUUACUACUGCUGUAUAAAAACACAUGAGGAACUUUUAAUAAUGGGGAACUCAUGGGAAAAGAUGGAUUCCUCUUACUCACUUUUCCCAGGACAGCAAAACCUUGCCACAUUCAAUUCAUUUUUACAGGGACAUUCCCACUGAUUUGGGGGAGACAUCUGGUUUGGGCUGUGGAAAGUUUGUAUUCCUCAACACCUGAUUUUUGCAAUUCCGGGAGAAUU
Molecule: long non-coding RNA, 836 nt
Organism: Zonotrichia leucophrys gambelii
Lineage: Eukaryota; Metazoa; Chordata; Aves; Passeriformes; Passerellidae
Exons: 3
Source: RefSeq, a predicted model, not a curated record